GCGGAUGUAGCCAAGUGGAUCAAGGCAGUGGAUUGUGA
RNAcentral lists this transfer RNA (38 nucleotides) under Artocarpus tonkinensis. RNAcentral's name for it is "partial tRNA-His". Lineage: Eukaryota; Viridiplantae; Streptophyta; Magnoliopsida; Rosales; Moraceae. RNAcentral also lists the same sequence under 17 other names. The record is from RNAcentral.